Molecule: non-coding RNA, 100 nt
Organism: Chytridium lagenaria
Lineage: Eukaryota; Fungi; Chytridiomycota; Chytridiomycetes; Chytridiales; Chytridiaceae
Source: the annotation of a GenBank genome assembly
UCUCGGAUAGUGUAGUGGUUAUCACGUAUCCUUCACAUGCUCAUGAGUAAUCGUGAGCUGAGAUCGGAUAAGGCCCCGGGUUCAAUCCCCGGUCUGAGAA